RNAcentral lists this ribosomal RNA (465 nucleotides) under uncultured bacterium. RNAcentral describes it as "partial 16S ribosomal RNA". It matches the Rfam family "Bacterial small subunit ribosomal RNA", at positions 28 to 507 of the family's 1533-position model. The record is from RNAcentral.
GAUGAACGCUGGCGGCGUGCUUAACACAUGCAAGUCGAACGGAAAGGCUCCUGCUUGCCGGGGUACUCGAGUGGCGAACGGGUGAGUAACACGUGGGUGAUCUGCCCUGCACUUCGGGAUAAGCCUGGGAAACUGGGUCUAAUACCGGAUAGGACCACAUUUUGGAUGGUGUGGUGGAAAGUUUUUCGGUGUGGGAUGAGCUCGCGGCCUAUCAGCUUGUUGGUGGGGUAAUGGCCUACCAAGGCGUCGACGGGUAGCCGGCCUGAGAGGGUGUACGGCCACAUUGGGACUGAGAUACGGCCCAGAAUCCUACGGGAGGCAGCAGUGGGGAAUAUUGCACAAUGGGCGCAAGCCUGAUGCAGCGACGCCGCGUGGGGGAUGACGGCCUUCGGGUUGUAAACUCCUUUCGCUAGGGACGAAGCGCAAGUGACGGUACCUGGAGAAGAAGCACCGGCUAACUACGUG